CUGCCGGAUGAAGUACAGGAUGCCCAAUGAAUUAAAUCCAUCUAAAUACAUUUCACUGGGCAUCCUCUGCUUUAUUGGGCUGCC
This is a microRNA precursor of Bison bison bison, 84 nucleotides long. The record is from Ensembl. NCBI's taxonomy places the organism in Eukaryota, Metazoa, Chordata, Mammalia, Artiodactyla, Bovidae.